UAUGGCAGAUUAGUGCAUUGGAUUUAAACUCCUUUUAUAAAGAUUUCUUAAUCUUUUAUUAAAA
RNAcentral lists this transfer RNA (64 nucleotides) under Temnothorax splendens. Its description in RNAcentral is "tRNA-Leu". The record is from RNAcentral. Lineage: Eukaryota; Metazoa; Arthropoda; Insecta; Hymenoptera; Formicidae.